ACGCUCGACACCUACGGAGGCAGCAGUGGGGAAUAUUGCACAAUGGGGGAAACCCUGAUGCAGCGACGCCGCGUGGAGGAAGAAGGUCUUCGGAUUGUAAACUCCUGUUGUUGGGGAAAAAGAGGAUGGUACCCAACAAGGAAGUGACGGCUAACUACGUGCCACAGCCGCGGUAAUCUGAGCGGGCUGGCAAGGC
RNAcentral lists this ribosomal RNA (196 nucleotides) under uncultured bacterium. RNAcentral describes it as "partial 16S ribosomal RNA". It matches the Rfam family "Bacterial small subunit ribosomal RNA", at positions 328 to 539 of the family's 1533-position model. The record is from RNAcentral.